CAUCCGGGGUGGUCUGCCAGGCGUGGUUGCCUGGUACUGAUGAGCAGCCGAGG
This 53-nucleotide non-coding RNA is filed under the name Pseudomonadota bacterium. The record is from RNAcentral. Lineage: Bacteria; Pseudomonadati; Pseudomonadota.